GACGAACGCUGGCGGCGUGCUUAACACAUGCAAGUCGAGCGGUAAGGCCCUUUCGGGGGUACACGAGCGGCGAACGGGUGAGUAACACGUGGGUGACCUGCCUCUAGCUCUGGGAUAAGCCCGGGAAACUGGGUCUAAUACUGGAUAUGACUCCAUGACGCAUGUUGUGGGGUGGAAAGCCUUGUGCGGCUAGAGAUGGGCCCGCGGCCUAUCAGCUUGUUGGNGGGGUGAUGGCCUACCAAGGCGACGACGGGUAGCCGGCCUGAGAGGGCGACCGGCCACACUGGGACUGAGACACGGCCAGACUCCUACGGGAGGCAGCAGUGGGGAAUCUUGCGC
Molecule: ribosomal RNA, 339 nt
Filed under: uncultured bacterium
Lineage: Bacteria
Description: bacterial SSU rRNA
Rfam family: Bacterial small subunit ribosomal RNA
Source: RNAcentral